UGUGCUGGAAGGCAGAGACCGUGUCUUCCCAUCUAAAGUCGGCCAUCAGAAGACUGAAGGCGUUGAAAGACCAGUAGAAGCUUCACCAUGUGAAACAUUGCUAGCCUAUAAUAAACCGGUUAAUUUAAAUAA
Molecule: long non-coding RNA, 132 nt
Organism: Lynx canadensis (Canada lynx)
Lineage: Eukaryota; Metazoa; Chordata; Mammalia; Carnivora; Felidae
Exons: 3
Source: RefSeq, a predicted model, not a curated record